RNAcentral lists this ribosomal RNA (459 nucleotides) under uncultured bacterium. RNAcentral describes it as "partial 16S ribosomal RNA". It matches the Rfam family "Bacterial small subunit ribosomal RNA", at positions 338 to 795 of the family's 1533-position model. The record is from RNAcentral.
CCUACGGGAGGCAGCAGUGAGGAAUAUUGGUCAAUGGCCGAGAGGCUGAACCAGCCAAGUCGCGUGAGGGAAUAAUGUCCUAUGGAUUGUAAACCUCUUUUGCCAGGGAGCAAAGUCACCCACGUGUGGGUGUUGGAGAGUACCUGAAAAAAAAGCCUCGGCUAACCCCGGGCCAGCAGCCGCGGUAAUACGGAGGAUGCGAGCGUUAUCCGGAUUUAUUGGGUUUAAAGGGUGCGUAGGCGGGUUAUCAAGUCAGCGGUAAAAUCGUGGAGCUCAACCCCCUCCAGCCGUUGAAACUGAGGGUCUUGAGUGGGCGAGAAGUAUGCGGAAUGCGUGGUGUAGCGGUGAAAUGCAUAGAUAUCACGCAGAACUCCGAUUGCGAAGGCAGCAUACCGGCGCCCGACUGACGCUGAAGCACGAAAGCGUGGGUAUCGAACAGGAUUAGAUACCCCGGUAGUC